CUCUUUUUUUUUUUUUAGUCUAAGCUUGGUCUAUCUAGUUUGAGUUUGGGCAGGAGCUAUGAUAAAAUGUUGUUGAUUUUCUCUUCGGAUAGAGCUCAUUUAAUUGUUGGGCUGGGUUCAUGAACUACUAUGUGUGAAUGCUGUAGGGAGAUAGUUAUGAUUUGCUAUUAUUCUUGGUCUAUGAAACAGACUAUGGUUUGCUUGCACUAUUUGCUAUGAAGCUGGACUUAAUGUGGUUAUACUUGUGCCCCUAAGUCCUUAUAUUAUGUGGUGUUUGAUCUAAACAUGAUGCAAGAUAAGGUGUUGGGGUGUGGAGGUGAUUACCUCUUGAUGUAGUGAGGCUGCCCUUGUUGUUGCUUGAGGUACAGCGAGAGGAAUGCAGGGCUGUUGGGAGCAGGGGAGUUCAGGCUGACUUUGCUUCCUUUGGCAAGUCUUUUGGUCUACUCUAACAAAGGAGAAAGAGACACUUGGCUGCCACACAACUGCCCCGGGAGGUAGGCUCGCUGCCUUGGCUCACCGGCUGACCGGGUGGGGUCGCGUGAUGUGCGGCUUGGGCUCGGAAAAGAAGAGGCCCAACGUGUAGUAAAAGAGUCGGCCUUAGCUCAUACUUGUAAAAUUGUGUACUAGCAUUCCCAUUUCCUUUUUCUUAAUUUCUUACUUCCCAUGUGUUUCACUAUGUAAACUAGAGGGUGUUUGAUAGUAAAUUGCAUUUUCUUAGCUAGAAGACGAA
Non-coding RNA from Salvia hispanica, 730 nucleotides. Lineage: Eukaryota; Viridiplantae; Streptophyta; Magnoliopsida; Lamiales; Lamiaceae. The record is from RefSeq and is a predicted model, not a curated record.